CCUACGGGAGGCAGCAGUGGGGAAUAUUGCACAAUGGGCGCAAGCCUGAUGCAGCCAUGCCGCGUGUAUGAAGAAGGCCUUCGGGUUGUAAAGUACUUUCAGCGGGGAGGAAGGUGUUGUGGUUAAUAACCACAGCAAUUGACGUUACCCGCAGAAGAAGCACCGGCCAACUCCGUGCCAGCAGCCGCGGUAAU
RNAcentral lists this ribosomal RNA (194 nucleotides) under uncultured bacterium. RNAcentral's name for it is "partial 16S ribosomal RNA". It matches the Rfam family "Bacterial small subunit ribosomal RNA", at positions 338 to 524 of the family's 1533-position model. The record is from RNAcentral.